Molecule: ribosomal RNA, 322 nt
Filed under: uncultured Micrococcus MC2
Lineage: Bacteria; Bacillati; Actinomycetota; Actinomycetes; Micrococcales; Micrococcaceae
Description: bacterial SSU rRNA
Rfam family: Bacterial small subunit ribosomal RNA
Source: RNAcentral
CAGGACGAACGCUGGCGGCGUGCUUAACACAUGCAAGUCGAACGCUGAAGCACCAGCUUGCUGGUGUGGGUGAGUGGCGAACGGGUGAGUAAUACGUGAGUAACCUGCCCUUGACUCUGGGAUAAGCCCGGGAAACUGGGUCUAAUACUGGAUGCUACAUGUCACCGCAUGGUGGUGUGUGGAAAGGGUUUACUGGUCUUGGAUGGGCUCACGGCCUAUCAGCUUGUUGGUGAGGUAAUGGCUCACCAAGGCGACGACGGGUAGCCGGCCUGAGAGGGUGACCGGCCACACUGGGACCGAGACACGGCCCAGACUCCUACGG